CGAAGGCGGGACCGAUGACUGGGGUGAAGUCGUAACAAGGUAGCCGUAUCGGAAGGUGCGGCUGGAUCACCUCCUUUCUAAGGAA
Molecule: ribosomal RNA, 85 nt
Filed under: Blautia obeum
Lineage: Bacteria; Bacillati; Bacillota; Clostridia; Lachnospirales; Lachnospiraceae
Description: partial 16S ribosomal RNA
Rfam family: Bacterial small subunit ribosomal RNA
Source: RNAcentral